ACUAAUAGAAGAGUUUCCUCUGACGUGUCGAUGAGCUGGAAGCACACCGACGACAAAACCUUAUAGGAUUCAUGAUUAGUUUUGGGGAGACAGUUGACGAAAUCCAAAUCGAUUCGUGGUGUGGGCGUUGACUAAGUGAGUUUUCUAUUUCUUUGAUUGCGAAAUUUGUUAUUUUUGUGUUGAUAAAGCUUGCGAGAUUUUUGGGAUGCAGAAAGGAAGUAAAGAUUUUGGAGUGUUUGUUUGUUAUUGGUAAAUUGUUUGUCGCAACAAUGGGGAAUUUGUAAGUAUUUGAAUAAUUUGUUUGUUGUUUUGAAAAUUGAUUAAACUUGUGGGGAUUAUCAUGAGUGGUUGUUUUGUUGUGUGAGGAUCAAUUAUUGGAAAAUAGAUUGUUGAAUAAGAUUUAACGGUUUAAUGAGGAAAAUUGUUAAAACUGAAAUUUUUUUGUUAACAAAAUAGUAAGCUUUCUCGGUCCCUUCUUUGAUCUGUCUACCUUUCUUCUCUCCAUGAUCUUCUUGUUAACCUUCUUUGAUUUGGAAAAAGAGAAAACGUGAUUAGUUGAAUAUUUGAUUCUUUGUUUUAAAUAAACGAUCUGGUUGAUUUGAAUAACAAAUGGUUUGUACUUUUGUUUCGUACUUUAAAAUUGCAAUCGGGAGAAAUCGGAAAGGGGGAAAAACUUUUGUUUUCAACUUCAAAACUGCAAUCAGGAGGAAUCUCAACUAAAAACAUCAACAUGAAGCCAAAAUUCAAAGCCAAAGCCAGAUAGAAAGGAAAACAACUUACCAAGCCAUGGGACUUUGACGAAGAAAAAUCCAGAAAAGCAGAAUCGUUAAUCCCCACAGAGAUGAUCGGGAAGAUGACAACAACGUUUUGUCCAGCUUUUUGAUUUAAUGGGCUGAUAUCAAUUGAUUUAAUGGGCUUAUAUAAAGCCCAACGAAUUUGUAAAUUUUUGCUGCUGACGUGGAUAGCUUAGAAUGAAAGAAAACUCUGCUAUUAUAUAUAUGAUUUUGGUUUGAAAUCCUU
This is a non-coding RNA of Camelina sativa (false flax), 1020 nucleotides long. Lineage: Eukaryota; Viridiplantae; Streptophyta; Magnoliopsida; Brassicales; Brassicaceae. The record is from RefSeq and is a predicted model, not a curated record.